This 207-nucleotide ribosomal RNA is filed under the name uncultured bacterium. Its description in RNAcentral is "partial 16S ribosomal RNA". It matches the Rfam family "Bacterial small subunit ribosomal RNA", at positions 568 to 774 of the family's 1533-position model. The record is from RNAcentral.
CACGUAGGCGGAUACUUAAGUCAGGGGUGAAAUCCCGGGGCUCAACCCCGGAACUGCCUUUGAUACUGGGUAUCUGGAGUCCGGAAGAGGUGAGUGGAAUUCCGAGUGUAGAGGUGAAAUUCGUAGAUAUUCGGAGGAACACCAGUGGCGAAGGCGGCUCACUGGUCCGGUACUGACGCUGAGGUGCGAAAGCGUGGGGAGCAAACA